This is a long non-coding RNA of Cairina moschata (Muscovy duck), 2664 nucleotides long. NCBI's taxonomy places the organism in Eukaryota, Metazoa, Chordata, Aves, Anseriformes, Anatidae. The record is from Ensembl.
AUGAGGGAUAAAUCCUUGAAAACGUGGUUUGUACUGCCAUAUAUAUGCUUGAAAACAAAGCAGCUGUCAAAGCCGAAGGGGUUCGGGGCAGGAUCUGGUCAAUACCUUGCUUACGGGCUGCUGGCCUGCAGCUCCAGGUGGGGUUUGGCAUUUCAGCUCGGCGAGGCCCUUCCUCUGCAGUUUGUCAUCGUUUUCCCCAGCGGUUCCUCUCCGUCUGCACAUCUCUUGGAUCUUUGGAGCGGGAGAUGGAGAGGGGUGACAGACCACGAGCUGCCUUGGUCUCCUGCCCUUUCCCCGGGGAACCCGCGCUUGUUGCUGCGCUCGGCGAGCAUCUGUGAUACAGUAACCCGAUUUGGCACGCCGUCGUGGCCUGGAUUCGGGCUCCUUCCCUUCCCAGCACCGUUCCUGGGGGAGUCACGGGUGAGCGGCGCGGCUCCUGGGCCUGCAGGGGCUCUGGCUCCGUCCUCUGAGCGCGUGUCAGCCCUUGGACGCCGGCACCGGGGCGGUGAUGCUGACGGGAACCGCUUGUGACGGCGCCGUGUUUGAAGCCUUCACUUCUCCAGCAGGAUCAUUUGAGGGAUUUCUUCUGGUUGCUCUCCAGGAGGAGGCUGUCACAUCCCAGGAGAUCGGGAGCUGGGUUGGAGGCAGAGCGGGCUCUUCGUAUCCGGUAUUAAAGCGGGGCUGCCCGGCUCGGGGCUCCCCGCUUCCAGCCUUGGAGAGGGGCUUGGGGAGGGAAUCGGGCUUGGAUCAGCCCAAAAUUUGCCCUGGGAAUGCAGAGAGCACACCAUGGAGCGCGGUCCGGGCUCGUGGCUCCAAGUCUUGAGGGGAUAACGGCCACGCUGGGGUGAGGUUCUGGUGGUGGCUGUGUUGAAACGGCGCUCGUUGCUUGUGCUGCUGAGUGCUUUGAUCCCAACGAGUUUGGUUUUUACAGAGGCUUGACAAAAAUCGCCUUUUCUGGAUAAAAGCAGUAGAGCUGUGUGCUCGGGGGCUCGAUUCGGUGCCUCUGCUCCCAGGGCUUCGCUGGCACAUCGCUGGGUUUUCUGUAACAACCGAGGGGCAGAGGAGCUCUGCUGAGGUGUGCACGUUUUCUGUUUGUGCUGGGCUCCAUCUAAUCCCUUUUCCCGAAUACCUUGAUCCUUCGGAUCCUUUUCCCCAGGAAUGUCACAAGUGCAGCAAAAUCCUCUUCUCCGCAUCCGCGGAAGCCCGCUCCUCCCCUUCCUCAGCUGCCCUGGUGCUGCUCUGCAUUCAGUUAACAAAUCUGCUAGGUUUCCUGGCUAAUCCCUUACAUUCAGGUCGCUCCUUCCCCUCCCGGCACCACACGUUUUUCCUUCAACCUCGACAAAGGAAAUGGUGCAAGGACUUUUGGGGGAGGCAAAGUCUGGCCCGGAGAGGACCUGCGUGUGCUCAGGCUCGUUCGCCUGCUGCGUGCGCUCGCGUUUUGCUUACGUGAGCUAUUAUAUCUGUUACAGAUGAGGAAACGUGCUGCUCGGACUGCAAAUAUUCCAGCAAGGAGCCGUCGCCCUCGUUAGCCGGUGGCGGUUUUCGGCUCGGAGGGCGCCCGGACCUCUGGGUGCAGCUGUUGCAACGAAUAAGAAGCGAGAGGCCUCUCCCUGCAGGGCCAUUUUGUGAAAGCUGCCUCUCAGCGUGGCGUCCGCCCAGGGAGCGUCUUUUGCUUCCGAUAGUUCUACAAACAUAACCCUUAAUUGGAUCAUCAACUGGAUCUAAUUUGCCGAGCGCGCCUCCCCCCCGCGCUUCAUUUACGGGUCUGGGCAGCCGAGCGGCGUGCGCGCCCGCUGCCAGCUGCGGGAGAGCUGCUGGCAGCUUCCAAGGACGCCGCCGGAGCAUUUAGCCCUGCUGUAAUGAACUUUCCUGCUAAUUAUUUUUAGGGAGCUUAAAGGACAGCCAGCUCUUGCUGCUGUGGCCCGGCUGGAGGGCACGGGACAGGGAGCGUGCACGGGUACAGCGUGGAGGGACGCGAUGUUCUGCACCGGGCUCUUCCUCCAAAAGGGGCUAGAGAGAACCAAGGUGGUUUUUGGUUUUUUUUUCCUAUAUUUUAGCCCAAAACACAUUGACCGCAGCCCAGCCAGGCUCGCAGGACAUUACCAGGCUUGCAAACUCAUGCUGGAAGGGUGGGAGCUGUGCCUGCAGCGGUGAAUUAUCAGAGAGCAGCAAGUCACAGGGGCUGCUGAGUGCUUGGAGAGCAGGGGAGGGAAAUCUGGCCUUCAAAACGCAGCUGAGGCUGAAUUCCUUGGGGCAUUCGCCACCUCUGGUCUCUGCCCACGUGAGCAGCAGGGAAGGACCCGAGCGGGGAGCCGGCGGCGCCGCGUGCCGCCCGGCUGCUCUAUAAUGGAUGGGGAGCAUGCUUUAUUCAUGUUCAGCAGCACGGGCGAGGAUUCAGGUCACUGUUUCCACGAAAGGGCUUGAAGAAUGUUUAAAUGUGACAAAGACUCCGGUGGUUUCAGUGGAGUGAGGGCUCCUUGUCCCCCUCCUGCCUCUCCAUGGGCACCUGGCUGUGAGCAUAGGGAGCCUUUUGCCCUUGUGCGAUGCCAAACUUCCCCUUUUGCUUUUAGAAGUGUUGCUUUGUUUUCUUUUUCCACCCCAAAUGCGUCACAGCUGCUUUCCUUCUCGUAGUUCUGCUUCCUAUAGGAUUUGGGCAGGGAACUG